AGAAGAUUGACACAUUUUUCAAGAGAAAUCCUGUAAGUGAAGUUGAGAGCUGAAAGUUGAAAAAUGUUGACAUUAAACAACAGUAGCCUAUUACCAUUAGAUAUUGUUUGCAUUUAUUUCAUGAUAUUACUUUUCAAUAUUCACUGAGGUUUGCUAGUGCCACAGCUGUAACUGUUUGACCCUAUUCCUUUACCACUGUACCCUUGUACUUGUACCCUCUCUCAGUUUCAGAGAGAGCACAGGAAGGUUCACAGGUGAGCAAUGAAAUUAAUGUUACAGUUUGUGAAAGAGGUCUAUGAAGGAAGAGAGGCCAUGUGUGUGUGUUUGUGUCAUGGGUGGUGCUUAUUUCCAUCCCAGGUGCACGCAUGUGUCUGGUGUGUUUAUAUCAAAUUCACAAUUUCAUUUCAAAUGUUUUGAUUAGGGUGUAUGUGAGGAUGUGGCCAGGAGUGAGGAAGACAGAGAUGAAGAGGGAGGAAAAGGCAGACACGAAGCGGGCAGACAAGAAGAACAGAGUGAGAGAGAGGUCAGAGAGGAUAAGGAUGACGAUGAAAUGGUAGAGAGAGGAGCAGAGAACUCAGACGUGGCUGUUACUCGCCAUCAGUUCAGUAAGCCCAAUCAACCAGAUCCAAAAUUAAUUGCUAAACAGUCCUUGCCCAAAUAUACUCUGAGUUUUCAAACUCAGUGGUACCAGAAAUUUCCAUGGCUCCAUGUGAGUCCUGGUGUUGAGGGUGUAUUGUGCUUUUAAUGCUCCAAAGCCUUUAACUCUGAGACAUCACCUCUUGCCAAGAAUGCUGAUUCAGCAUUCAUUUCAUCUGGGUUUAAAAAUUGGAAAAAAGCCCUUGAGCGAUUUACUGUGCAUGAGAGAUCUGAUAGUCAUAAGACAGCCAUAACAUCUAUGAAGAUCGAUCAGUACAGGUUCAGCUAUCUAGUGUGAGUGUGAAACAGCAAGAGGAAGCAAGGGGAUGUCUUCUCAAAAUCAUUGGUGCUGUGCAGAUGUUGGCUAGGCAGGGCUUACCUUUUAGGGGCCAUGAAUGGGGUGAGGUUCUGAACAGGUUCUGAAGUAUAGGACACGAGACGUGUCUGGAAAAGAGCAAGAGGCAGUGUGUUUGAGAUAUGUUGACAAGGAUUUAGUCCCUCGUGAAGAAUUUAUUGGUCUUUAUGAGGUUUCUUUGACAACAGGAGAAAAUCUAGCAAAAGUAGUCAUGGAUGUUUUGCAGCGCCUAAACUUGCCUAUCACUGGGUUGUGUGGCCAAGCAUACGAUGGGGCCGCAAAUACAAUGGAGCACAGGCCAUUAUAAGAAAAAUACAACCUCUGGCUCCCUAUGUUCAUUGUGCUGCCCACUGUGUUAACCUAAUUACACAGAGGUCCUGUACUGCCUCAAUAUUUAUCCGGAAUUCUCUGGAUUGGGUCAAUGAGUUGGGAGUGUUGUUUGGGCAGUCAGGGAAACUGAAGGACAUAUUUAAGGGAAUUGCAAGGUCUGAGGAGGGUGAGGGUCCAUGUCACACUAUAAGACCUCUGUGUCCAACAAGGUGGACGGUCCGCACUAGUGCCACCCGCACUGCGCUAAACCAGUACGAGUGCACAAUCAAGAUGGCAGUGAGUGAGUCUGAUGCGGCUAGUAAGGCACAGGGGCUGUAUGAGACAUUUCAAAUGUUGUCCUUGGUCUUGUGUGUGCUUUGGAGAUCACAGGGGAGUUGGAGGUUUUGAAUAUGUCCCUCCAGAGCAGAACACAGACCCUAGAUGUUAAGGUGUUAAGGAAAGUUUCAGCAAAAAGAGAAACACAGAGAGUUUUCAGGCUCUUUACACGAAAGCAACAAGGAUGUGUGAGACACUCCAUCUCACUCCUAUUGCCUCUCCUCGUGUCCGUAUCCCACCUCAGCGCUUCACAGGUAGUGCUCCUGCACAUGUACAUGUGUCCCCUUCUGAUUACUGCAGGACUGAAUUCUACAAAGUUCUGGAUGUUGCUGACAGUUUAGAGAAAGAUUUGAGCAGGAGGGAAUGCAGGUUAAGGCACCUGGAACAAGUUCUCUUAACUGGAAAGAUACAUGGUGUUGUCCAACAGUACCCAGAAAUCAACCCAGACAUCCUCAAAGUUCAGCUUGCGUUGUUCAGAAUGAAGUACAGCUUCCAGAGGUCCGUGGUCUCUUUGACCAAGUCGAAACAGUUGCCUGACUCCUCCUAGUUGUGCCUGUGUCAUCAGCAGAGUCAGAAAGGAGUUUCAGCAGCCUCCGGAGGCUGAAAACAUGGCUACGCAGCACCAUGACCCAAACCCGCCUCAACAGUGUUGCUGUGUGCCAUGUACAUAAAGACAAGCUGGACAGGGUAAACAGAAAAAAGAUUGCUGAACAGUUUGUCUCCUGUAAGGAGGGCAGAAAGAGCACUUUUGGUUCUUUUAAAUGAGAGGUAGUUGGUCAUACGUUCAUUGGUCAGUUGCUUGUUGUUGUUGGUUGCAUUUAUAUAUGUGUAUAGUACCACAUCCAUCCCCCUCACUUUUGAAGAGCUUGCUACGCCCCUGGUUGUGACACAUUGCUGGAGAGCCUUGUUGACAGUUUAUUUUUCUUUUUGAGAAGAGUUCCAUAGACCUAUGUCUGUUCCACUGGAAAACACGUUCCUUGUCUGAGGAUCAGGAUUAGACAGAAAACAUUCAUCUGAGAAGAGAGAGUGUCCUAAAGGUCCUUAUCUUUUUCCUGGGAGAAAAUCCUGAAGACGUUAUCAAGGGAGUUCCAUUAAAAUAUAUUUGGGGAAAAAUUAUUAGCGGGUCAGCGCGCGGGGAGCUUAUGAUAGAAAGACAAAACAACUGGUUUAAUGCUGUUUUACUAUACUUUUACUAUAAUAAAACAUUAUAGUUAUAUUAUAAAAUCUUAAAAUCUAAUCUAAUAAAACACCAACAUCUUGAUCCAACCAGUGACAACCCAUAGAUGUAUUUAACUCUGCUAUGGCUCAGCAAUUUGUUAUAAGAAGUUCUGUAGAAAUUAGUCAUGUCAGUUCAGUUCUCAUUCCAAUAGCAUCAGUACAUCAUUUAUAAUAAUGGAGUAAACUAAAUUGUACUGAAUACAGUGUAUUUGUUUGUUUCUAGGAGAGCAUCAACCCCUAAUUGACAUGAGGAAAAAAAUCAUUGAAAAGUGUUCAGUGUACCUCUCUUUGCAACGGAGGAAGCAUUAGGAAAGAGGAGAAGAGAGGAAGUGAAAAGGCACUCAACAGAUGUUGGAAAUGCACUGGUAACAACUAAAAAAAGAUGACCAAACAUAAUUCAACAGAAGAUGAUGGCUGUGGUGAAACAAGCACUCAAAUAAUGAAACUAAGACCAGUGGGAGUGCUGGAGAAAUCAAGUGUAUAAGUCCUCUGUCGUCUCAGCCAUGGAAGAGAUCUUCAGACAUGAAGAGAUCGAGGAGUUAAAUGAAGUCAAAGAGCUAAAAGAAGAUUUACAAUACUAGUGCCAUUUCAGUAUGAAAACAGAGAGAGAGCUGAGGCAGUGGAAAGAAAUGCAUGUUAUUGUGUAGUUGCAUGGACUAUCAGUGGAGGAACAGAAAGCUCUGAGAUUUGAUUAUAAAGAUCUUCAUUUGUGUUCGGAAGAUGAACGAAAGACUUGCGGGUUUGGAACGAUAUGAGGACUACAUCAAAAAUAGUGUUUCCACAUCUGAGAUGAAGGCAGUCAUAAGAACCAAGCGGAACGAUGAGGAUAAGCUCUUCAAAAAAUGAAACCUGUCUGAAUAACGAGGGAAGAAAUGUGCAUGAUUGCGUGAUUUGUAAAUAAACACAAAAUAACAGGCUGAGAGUUACACUAAAUGCAUUUAAAGUUUAAAGAAAAGUAAAAUAAUUUAUUGUUGCAUUGUUGUUUGAGACAUUCACUGUUGUUUUGUACCUUAAUUUAUUAUAUUGCAGAUGUGUAAAAUAAAACUUGUUGUUCUGAAUAUUCUGGUUGCAUUUCAGUGUUACUGUACAGCAUUUUAUUAGUAUUGCACUUCGGUAGUAUUGAAUUGUACUUCAGUUGUAUUAUAUAUUGCAGUACUACUGCAGGUUUAUUGCAGUAUAACUGUAGUAAUACUUCAGCUGUAUUGCAGUAAUGCUGUGGUUCUAUUGCAAUUGUUUGUUAGUAAUACUACAGCUCUACUGCAGUUGUAUUGCAAUAGUACUUCAGAUGUAUUGCAGUAAAACGGCAAUAAUGCAGUUUUUCCGUGUCCAAAAAAACUGAAUUUUUCUA
Long non-coding RNA from Onychostoma macrolepis, 4202 nucleotides. RefSeq lists it as uncharacterized. The transcript has 6 exons. Lineage: Eukaryota; Metazoa; Chordata; Actinopteri; Cypriniformes; Cyprinidae. The record is from RefSeq and is a predicted model, not a curated record.